UACGUAGGGGGCAAGCGUUAUCCGGAUUUACUGGGUGUAAAGGGAGCGUAGACGGCAGAGCAAGUCCGGAGUGAAAGCCCGGGGCCCAACCCCGGGACUGCUCUGGAAACCGUUAAGCUGGAGUGCGGGAGGGGCAGGCGGAAUUCCUGGUGUAGCGGUGAAAUGCGUAGAUAUCAGGAGGAACACCGGUGGCGAAGGCGGCCUGCUGGACUGCAACUGACGUUGAGGCCCGAAAGCGUGGGGAGCAAACAGG
This 253-nucleotide ribosomal RNA is filed under the name uncultured bacterium. RNAcentral describes it as "partial 16S ribosomal RNA". It matches the Rfam family "Bacterial small subunit ribosomal RNA", at positions 524 to 776 of the family's 1533-position model. The record is from RNAcentral.